RNAcentral lists this long non-coding RNA (1701 nucleotides) under Sus scrofa (pig). Its description in RNAcentral is "lncRNA (ENSSSCG00015050247.1)". Lineage: Eukaryota; Metazoa; Chordata; Mammalia; Artiodactyla; Suidae. The record is from RNAcentral.
AUAGAAAUAUCCAUGUGCUGGUUCUUGGUUUGGCAACGUGUUGUUAUAAUUGCUUUCAUUGCCAGAGUCUGUCAUGAGUUUGGUGCAUUAUACGCUGUAAAUGUUUAAACUCUGUGUCCUAGACGCGGGGGAACAGGUGCUCAUCUUCCCCUCCCACGUGCUAAGCCACCCUUCCCGCUGUUUCCCUGCCAGUCCCCCUGCCCCACCCUCCCCGCCCCAUCAGGAAGGCCUGACCAAGGGGGGUGUCGCUCUGAUCUUAGAUCGUCCCUGACUCCUGCUGCUUUUGCGUUUCCCAUGUCGUUCUGGCCCCCCAGUCCCAGCAGCUCUCCCUACUAGGACAGCCUCCUACCGGGUUCUUGGCUGCGUCCUCUCCCCAGUUCAGCUCUCCCCACCUUCCCAGCACACUCCCCGAUCAUACCUAUUUCACCCUAAUACAACCCUAGCCUUCUGAGCACGGUUCAUUUUUUUUUUCUCUUUCUUUUUAGGGCCAUACCAGCAGCAUACAGAAGUUCCCAGAGUCAAAUCUGAGCUACCGCAGCAGUGAGUGACCGUCCAGCCCAUUGUCCCUCUGUGGUGACUGGAAGUCCAGGCAGGUAUGAAGGCGCCACCAAGUCAAGCAGCCCAGUCUCAGCCUCGGCCGAUCCUGCGGGGUCACUGGUCCCUGAAACUUGGAGCUGCUAAUCUCCAGGCCGAAACUCGGCCAGUCUUCAGGUCCAUCGACUUCCAGGCCCAGGUCCCCACUGAUGGUCCCUGCAGUCCUUGCACCGGGCCCCCUGCAGUCUGACUGUGCGUCUGUCCGCAGUCAUCCCCUGCGUGGCGGUGACCAUGAACUCAGGGCCACACAGACCCCACUUUGAAUGUCAAAUUGCCGUUGGCCAUGAAGGCCAACUACCUUUCUGAAAUCGGUUUUCUCGUCUAAAUGAUCGCCGUGAUGCCUCUGCAAGUGAAAGGAAAGAGACCAGGAAUAGUUAUGAGAAGAGAUUGCCAGCGGACUCUCCCUGAGAGGCGCAGGCGGGGUCCUCUGGCUUUGGAACCCAGGACCAAGCCUGGCGCGUGCUCAGUGGUCCCUUCUGCCGAGAGCGGCGCAGAUGCUGCGGCGGUGGCCUCUGUUUCUAGCCGGGUCGGCCUGCUUCUGGCGUCUACGACUUGAUCCUUGCCGGCGGGGCCUCUGCCAAUAUUGGGUACUGGUCAUGUGGGACAUGACGACCCUCUAAGAGUUUACAGUGUUUAAAAGUUCUUACUGAGCUUCUUGUAUAAAUUUCAUGGGGAAAUCAUGAAAUAUUAAACCACCUGAAAUAGUACCUCUUUGUCAAAACACUUCACUGUAACUUCCGUUUAAGGGAAACAUCCAAGCCAUCAAAUUCUGCUUGUGUGUAGUUUCAUGAGACAACGGCUUCAUGCGUGUUUCUGGAGAUUUUUCUUUCGUGCCCCACUCUCAGAACACAGGGCCUUGAAUGUGAUUUUCCGUUCAUCAGAGAAGGUUUGAGUUGCCGUUUUAGUCUGCGACACAUUUCCGCCUUGAGACCCCCAUCCUCGUACCUGUUGACCUUAUGUUGCCAUGCUGCCAUGGACGUCGUUGGGAAAUAAGCAAUACUAACACAGAAUGGGAAGAAUCCCUCCUCCGCUACCUGGGAACAGAAGUUUACUAUGCUGUGUCUGGGUCAAAAUGGGCCAGACCUGCUGCCUUGAGUCCAGAUCCCG